RNAcentral lists this transfer RNA (87 nucleotides) under Lawsonibacter sp. Its description in RNAcentral is "tRNA-Leu". It matches the Rfam family "tRNA". From Rfam's summary of the family: Transfer RNA (tRNA) molecules are approximately 80 nucleotides in length. Their secondary structure includes four short double-helical elements and three loops (D, anti-codon, and T loops). Lineage: Bacteria; Bacillati; Bacillota; Clostridia; Eubacteriales; Oscillospiraceae. The record is from RNAcentral.
GCCGGUGUGAUGGAAUUGGUAGACGUAGCGGACUCAAAAUCCGCUGGUGGCGACAUCGUGGGGGUUCGAGUCCCCCCACCGGCACCA